This 253-nucleotide ribosomal RNA is filed under the name uncultured bacterium. RNAcentral's name for it is "partial 16S ribosomal RNA". It matches the Rfam family "Bacterial small subunit ribosomal RNA", at positions 524 to 776 of the family's 1533-position model. The record is from RNAcentral.
UACGUAGGGGGCAAGCGUUGUUCGGAUUCAUUGGGCGUAAAGGGUGUGUAGGUGGCGCCGUAAGUCGGGUGUGAAAUCUCGGGGCUUAACUCCGAAACUGCAUUCGAUACUGCGGUGCUUGAGGACUGGAGAGGAGACUGGAAUUCAUGGUGUAGCAGUGAAAUGCGUAGAGAUCAUGAGGAAGACCAGUGGCGAAGGCGGGUCUCUGGACAGUUCCUGACACUGAGACACGAAGGCCAGGGGAGCAAACGGG